UUCCACUGUGAACAUACCACUUGUUGCCUCGGCGGAUCAGCCCGCUCCCGGUAAAACGGGACGGCCCGCCAGAGGACCCCUAAACUCUGUUUCUAUAUGUAACUUCUGAGUAAAACCAUAAAUAAAUCAAAACUUUCAACAACGGAUCUCUUGGUUCUGGCAUCGAUGAAGAACGCAGCAAAAUGCGAUAAGUAAUGUGAAUUGCAGAAUUCAGUGAAUCAUCGAAUCUUUGAACGCACAUUGCGCCCGCCAGUAUUCUGGCGGGCAUGCCUGUUCGAGCGUCAUUUCAACCCUCAAGCACAGCUUGAUGUAGGGACUCGCGUUAAUUCGCGUUCCUCAAAUUGAUUGGCGGUCACGUCGAGCUUCCAUAGCGUAGUAGUAAAACCCUCGUUACUGGUAAUCGUCGCGGCCACGCCGUUAAACCCCAACUUCUGAAUGUUGACCUCGGAUCAGGUAGGAAUACCCGCUGAACUUAAGCAUAUCAAUGAAGGGGAGGAA
RNAcentral lists this ribosomal RNA (498 nucleotides) under Fusarium sp. Z41. RNAcentral's name for it is "eukaryotic LSU rRNA". The stretch from base 131 to 284 matches the Rfam family "5.8S ribosomal RNA". The record is from RNAcentral. Lineage: Eukaryota; Fungi; Ascomycota; Sordariomycetes; Hypocreales; Nectriaceae.